GACGAACGCUGGCGGCGUGCUUAACACAUGCAAGUCGAACGGAAAGGCCCUUCGGGGUACUCGAGUGGCGAACGGGUGAGUAACACGUGGGUGAUCUGCCCUGCACUUUGGGAUAAGCCUGGGAAACUGGGUCUAAUACCGGAUAGGACCACGGCAUUCAUGUGCUGUGGUGGAAAGCUUUUGCGGUGUGGGAUGGGCCCGCGGCCUAUCAGCUUGUUGGUGGGGUAAUGGCCUACCAAGGCGACGACGGGUAGCCGGCCUGAGAGGGUGACCGGCCACACUGGGACUGCGGUACGGCCCAGACUCCUACGGGAGGCAGCGGUGGGGAAUAUUGCCCAAUGGGCGCAAGCCUGAUGCAGCGACGCCGCGUGAGGGAUGACGGCCUUCGGGUUGUAAACCUCUUUCGCCAGGGACGGAGCGCAAGUGACGGUACCUGGAGAAGAAGGACCGGCCAACUACGUG
RNAcentral lists this ribosomal RNA (462 nucleotides) under uncultured bacterium. RNAcentral describes it as "partial 16S ribosomal RNA". It matches the Rfam family "Bacterial small subunit ribosomal RNA", at positions 28 to 507 of the family's 1533-position model. The record is from RNAcentral.